RNAcentral lists this ribosomal RNA (471 nucleotides) under uncultured organism. RNAcentral describes it as "partial 16S ribosomal RNA". It matches the Rfam family "Bacterial small subunit ribosomal RNA", at positions 334 to 797 of the family's 1533-position model. The record is from RNAcentral.
CACUCCUGCGGGAGGCAGCAGUGGGGAAUAUUGCACAAUGGGCGCAAGCCUGAUGCAGCCAUGCCGCGUGUAUGAAGAAGGCCUUCGGGUUGUAAAGUACUUUCAGCGGGGAGGAAGGCGAUAAGGUUAAUAACCUUGUCGAUUGACGUUACCCGCAGAAGAAGCACCGGCUAACUCCGUGCCAGCAGCCGCGGUAAUACGGAGGGUGCAAGCGUUAAUCGGAAUUACUGGGCGUAAAGCGCACGCAGGCGGUCUGUCAAGUCGGAUGUGAAAUCCCCGGGCUCAACCUGGGAACUGCAUUCGAAACUGGCAGGCUAGAGUCUUGUAGAGGGGGGUAGAAUUCCAGGUGUAGCGGUGAAAUGCGUAGAGAUCUGGAGGAAUACCGGUGGCGAAGGCGGCCCCCUGGACAAAGACUGACGCUCAGGUGCGAAAGCGUGGGGAGCAAACAGGAUUAGAUACCCCGGUAGUCCC